Molecule: ribosomal RNA, 416 nt
Filed under: uncultured bacterium
Lineage: Bacteria
Description: bacterial SSU rRNA
Rfam family: Bacterial small subunit ribosomal RNA
Source: RNAcentral
AGGACGAACGCUGGCGGCGUGCCUAAUACAUGCAAGUCGAGCGAGCGCUGCCUAACAGAUUUACUUCGCUUGCGCUCUGUGGAAAGCGAGCGGGCUAUGGGUGAGAAAGGUGAGGAGGAACCUGGCCCACCUGCCGGGAUACCCCUUGUAACCCCGGGCUACUAAUGCAUAAAAAAGAUAAUCACAUAUUAUGCUUUUCAACUGUUUAAAAGACUGUUCUGCUGGGAUGGCCCCAUGGACCUGUAGCGCAUUGGCUAGGUGGAGGGUUACCGGCGUAACGAUGCAAUGACGAGUUGACAAACUGAUAGACCGCUUUGGCACUGAGACACUGACCCACCUCCCACAGUCCGACGGGAGGCGGAAUCUUCCAAUCUGGACCCAUGUCUGAUGGACUGACGCCGCAACACCGAAGAAGG